Molecule: ribosomal RNA, 272 nt
Filed under: Escherichia coli
Lineage: Bacteria; Pseudomonadati; Pseudomonadota; Gammaproteobacteria; Enterobacterales; Enterobacteriaceae
Description: partial 16S ribosomal RNA
Rfam family: Bacterial small subunit ribosomal RNA
Source: RNAcentral
AAAUUGAAGAGUUUGAUCAUGGCUCAGAUUAAACGCUGGCGGCAGGCCUAACACAUGCAAGUCGAACGGUAACAGGAAGAAGCUUGCUUCUUUGCUGACGAGUGGCGGACGGGUGAGUAAUGUCUGGGAAACUGCCUGAUGGAGGGGGAUAACUACUGGAAACGGUAGCUAAUACCGCAUAACGUCGCAAGACCAAAGAGGGGGACCUUCGGGCCUCUUGCCAUCGGAUGUGCCCAGAUGGGAUUAGCUAGUAGGUGGGGUAACGGCUCACC